ACUAUUUUGGCAGACAAGUGCGUUGGAUUUAGGAUCUAUUAAUGUAAUUUUUUAUUUACAGGUAGUA
RNAcentral lists this transfer RNA (67 nucleotides) under Acanthotermes acanthothorax. Its description in RNAcentral is "tRNA-Leu". The record is from RNAcentral. Lineage: Eukaryota; Metazoa; Arthropoda; Insecta; Blattodea; Termitidae.